GGAUUGUAGCUCAGUGGUAGAGCAUUCACCUAGCACGUGAGAGGCCCUGGGUUUGAUUCUCAGCACCA
This 68-nucleotide transfer RNA is filed under the name Marmota monax (woodchuck). Its description in RNAcentral is "tRNA.Ala". The stretch from base 5 to 65 matches the Rfam family "tRNA", at positions 6 to 65 of the family's 71-position model. From Rfam's summary of the family: Transfer RNA (tRNA) molecules are approximately 80 nucleotides in length. Their secondary structure includes four short double-helical elements and three loops (D, anti-codon, and T loops). The record is from RNAcentral. Lineage: Eukaryota; Metazoa; Chordata; Mammalia; Rodentia; Sciuridae.